GUACCUAGAGUUUUCUUGGUGAUUGAAUUUGUCCAUGGACAUAUACAAGUUAAUAGUUAAAGUCAUCAAAAUCAUGCCUAACCCAUGCCAAAGGAGUCGAAAUUUGAACCAUGUUUAUGUUAGAACCCUACUAGAUUGACUCACAGAUAACUGGAUUCACUUUAGGGUACAGGACCUCAAGGGGAGGGAGGUCAGAGCAGAGAAUGAAAGAGAACUGGGUACGGAGAGACAAAGGCUUGAAGAGGAAUAUUGAAUACAUUUUAUCAUUUUCUGUGGCUAGGAGAAACUAUUCUGUAAAAUAUUUUUAUUUAAAGAAACUAAAUAAAACCAAGAGAAGUUACUUGUUUUUAUACUUAAGCAUAAAAGUCAUAGCUAAAGCUAUUUUAAUUGAAGUCGGAGCUGUACCAAACGGUGAAACGGAUAUUGUUCAUAUAAAUCUAAGGUGACAGGUUAGGUGUGGCUGCGGCACCACUUCCACGUGCACGGUUGCACCCUACCACCCUGAUGUGAUGGGGCAGAGGAUGGGCGUCACGAGUGAUCAUGGGUUCUCGUGACUACUUGAUUCCCUUUGUCUGCGCGAGUUAACAGGUGCUCGCCAGCACCGACACUUGCGCCAUCGCUGAUGUAGGAACCAUUCUGCAGCCAACCCGUUUAACACAUGCAAACAAAGUUGCUAUAUACUCAUAUUAGCUAAAUGAAAAGAGUUUAUAACUAAACUAAAAGUGCAAGUUGCAUAUAUUCAUUUCAUCUGUUCGUUGCCACACGCCAUGUACGUCUAUUUAUUUGUAGAGAGUUCUCUAUCACCCUCACACACAAAUCAAUCCAAUACAGCUAGUAGCGUGCAGUAGCACAACGCAAAACAGCACCAUGGCGCUCACCACAAGCACUAAUAACCAAGCCUUGCUUGACGCUCCGCUAGAGCUCUGGCACACGACCUUUGCUUACAUGAAGUCCAUGGCACCGAUACAUCUUCCUUAAGUGGGUUUUGCAUGACUGGGACAAUGCUGGUUGUAGCAAGAUACUGAAGAAUUGUAAGAAAGCUAUAACUCCUAGGGAUGCAGGAGGAAAGGUGAUAAUCCUAGAUAUGGUUAUGGGGGGCCAAUCGUCAAACAUUAAGCACAAAGAUACUGUCUUGUUUGAUCUCUUCAUCAUGUUUGUCAAUGGCGUCAAGCGAGACGAGCAAGAAUGGAAGAAGAUCAUCUAUGAAGCCGGAUUUAGUGAUUACAAAAUCAUACCUGUUCUUGGUGUUUUUUUUUUGACGAAACUGGACCUGUUCUUGGUGUUCGAUCCAUCAUUGAGGUCUACCCGUAAUUGUUUGGUGAAAACGUGUUUCAAGAUUUCUUUCUGAAUAAGUUGUUUGGUUAACUAGCAUGGGACAUUGUGUCCGUGACAUCAUGUGCAAUGCGUGAUUAGUACCAAAGAAUUUGUUCAUGUGCAAGAAUUGCAUUAAUUUUGAGUUGAAGUAACACAUUCUUGCGAUCGGCGGUGUUCCAUG
Molecule: long non-coding RNA, 1495 nt
Organism: Sorghum bicolor (sorghum)
Lineage: Eukaryota; Viridiplantae; Streptophyta; Magnoliopsida; Poales; Poaceae
Exons: 2
Source: RefSeq, a predicted model, not a curated record